This 498-nucleotide ribosomal RNA is filed under the name Lomentospora prolificans. RNAcentral describes it as "Scedosporium prolificans Eukaryotic small subunit ribosomal RNA". It matches the Rfam family "Eukaryotic small subunit ribosomal RNA", at positions 198 to 696 of the family's 1831-position model. Lineage: Eukaryota; Fungi; Ascomycota; Sordariomycetes; Microascales; Microascaceae. The record is from Rfam by way of RNAcentral.
GGGAUGUAUUUAUUAGAUUAAAAGCCAACGCCCUUCGGGGCUUCCUGGUGAUUCAUAAUAACUUUUCGAAUCGCAUGGCCUUGCGCCGGCGAUGGUUCAUUCAAAUUUCUUCCCUAUCAACUUUCGAUGCGAAGGUAUUGUCUUCGCAUGGUUGCAACGGGUAACGGAGGGUUAGGGCUCGACCCCGGAGAAGGAGCCUGAGAAACGGCUACUACAUCCAAGGAAGGCAGCAGGCGCGCAAAUUACCCAAUCCCGACACGGGGAGGUAGUGACAAUAAAUACUGAUACAGGGCUCUUUUGGGUCUUGUAAUCGGAAUGAGUACAAUUUAAAUCCCUUAACGAGGAACAAUUGGAGGGCAAGUCUGGUGCCAGCAGCCGCGGUAAUUCCAGCUCCAAUAGCGUAUAUUAAAGUUGUUGUGGUUAAAAAGCUCGUAGUUGAACCUUGGGCCUGGCUGGCCGGUCCCCCUCACCGGGUGCACUGAUCCAGCCGGGCCUUUC